RNAcentral lists this non-coding RNA (21 nucleotides) under Caenorhabditis elegans. The record is from RNAcentral. Lineage: Eukaryota; Metazoa; Nematoda; Chromadorea; Rhabditida; Rhabditidae.
UGAUUUCCUUUCAUUUUGAUA